RNAcentral lists this transfer RNA (65 nucleotides) under Curetis acuta. Its description in RNAcentral is "tRNA-Ile". Lineage: Eukaryota; Metazoa; Arthropoda; Insecta; Lepidoptera; Lycaenidae. RNAcentral also lists the same sequence under 1 other name. The record is from RNAcentral.
AAUAAAGUGCCUGAUAAAAAGGAUUAUUCUGAUAGGAUAAAUUAUGUAAAUUAUUACCUUUAUUA